RNAcentral lists this long non-coding RNA (588 nucleotides) under Medicago truncatula (barrel medic). Its description in RNAcentral is "long non-coding RNA (MTRU_LNC006770)". Lineage: Eukaryota; Viridiplantae; Streptophyta; Magnoliopsida; Fabales; Fabaceae. The record is from RNAcentral.
UGUAGUAGUAUGGAGGUGGAGGUGAGGGAGAUGGUGGUGGUGGAGAUUUGUAAUAGUAAGGUGGUGGAGGGGAAUGUGAGGGGGGUGGGGGGGAUUUGUAAUAAUAAGGAGGUGGAGGUGAUGGGGAUGGAGGAGGUGGUGACUUGUACACAUAUGUUGGAGCCUUGUGCUCAUAAGAUGGUGGUGGAGGUGAUUUAUACUCAUAGGGUGGUGGGGGUGAUGGUGAAGGAGGUGGGGGAGACUUAUAUUCAUAAGAUGGAGACUUGUGCUCAUAGGGUGGAGGUGGUGGAGAUUUGUAAAUGUAAGAUGGUGGAGGUGACGGUGAGGGAGGCGGUGGUGACUUGUAAAUGUAAGGUGGUGGUGGUGAUGGUGAUGGUGGUGGGGGUGACUUGUACUGGUAAGAUGGAGCCUUGUGCUCAUAUGGUGGUGGAGGUGACGGUGAUGGAGGUGGUGGUGACUUGUAAAUGUAAGGUGGUGGAGGUGAUGGUGAUGGAGGUGGGGGUGACUUGUACUGGUAAGAUGGUGCCUUGUGCUCAUAUGGAGGCGGUGGUGACGGUGAUGGAGGCGGUGGUGACUUGUACACAUAAG